UACGGGAGGCAGCAGUGGGGAAUAUUGCACAAUGGGCGCAAGCCUGAUGCAGCCAUGCCGCGUGUAUGAAGAAGGCCUUCGGGUUGUAAAGUACUUUCAGUCGUGAGGAAGGUGUUAAGGUUAAUAACCUUAGCAAUUGACGUUAGCGACAGAAGAAGCACCGGCUAACUCCGUGCCAGCAGCCGCGGUAAUACGGAGGGUGCGAGCGUUAAUCGGAAUUACUGGGCGUUAAAGGGCACGCAGGCGGUUAAUUAAGUUGGAUGUGAAAAUCCCCGGGCUUAACCUGGGAAUGGCAUUCAAGACUGGUUAGCUAGAGUCUUGUAGAGGGGGUAGAAUUCCAUGUGUAGCGGUGAAAUGCGUAGAGAUGUGGAGGAAUACCGGUGGCGAAAGGCGGCCCCCUGGACAAAGACUGACGCUCAUGUGCGAAAGCGUGGGGAGCAAACAGGGAUUAGAUACC
This 457-nucleotide ribosomal RNA is filed under the name uncultured bacterium. Its description in RNAcentral is "bacterial SSU rRNA". It matches the Rfam family "Bacterial small subunit ribosomal RNA", at positions 340 to 786 of the family's 1533-position model. The record is from RNAcentral.